Molecule: long non-coding RNA, 2133 nt
Organism: Brassica rapa (field mustard)
Lineage: Eukaryota; Viridiplantae; Streptophyta; Magnoliopsida; Brassicales; Brassicaceae
Source: RefSeq, a predicted model, not a curated record
UAUGAAGUUUUACUAAGUUAAUUGAUAAAAAUUAAAACGAUACUUAUGUAAUAUGAAAGAGAGUUUAAUAUACAUAAAUACAGAUGUAGAAUGUGUUUAGAAAUUUUAAAACAAUACUAAAGAUCAUAUGCUUCGUAUAGAGCAUUUAUAAGAAAACUCAAUAUUUUACAAAAAUCUAUAUUAUAAUAGAUGAGUUUUUUUGUCUCUCCUCAGCUUAUCCACGUGGCAAAAAUGUGGGCCCCACCUCUGUUUAGUUUUUUUAUUUAGUUUUCUGUCGAGUGGGCAUUACGUGGGUUUUGAAAUAAUUUGAUUUCUCGAGUCUGAAACGAUUAGUGUUUAUUUCCUCUUCGAGAUUGUAAUUUCACAGAGGGCUCUUCCUUAUCCAACAAAUUCAAUUUCGUAACCUGAUCUCUUCGAUUCCUCUGUGCACGUUCUCUGCCCUCAAAACUGCUUUCGAAGAAAAGGCGAACUCUGAUGGAUUCAAUCGACCACUCACUCACUAUCUGUGAUUCGUCAUUCCUGUUGCUUCUUCUUCUUCUUCUUCCUCAAAUUUAAAAGGUAGACACUUUAUCCUCUCUUAUCACACUCUUCCUCCACCGAAUGGUGGGAAGAUAAUUCAACACCUGUCCAAAAGAUCAAAGCUUUCACCUUUUUACACGAGUUAUGUUCUUCUAGCGAGUUUUGACUCUCAAAAUCUCAACCAAUUUACUGCAUUUUCUCAAGUAUACCUCUAAAAGGGUUUAGUUUUUUUUUGUUAUUAUUAAGUUUGAUGGAACUCAAAAGAAAACCGGAGACAUGAGUCGUCAUCAUCGUCUAGGUCAGCUUCACCUUCACCAGCAUCACCAUCUUCAUCUUCAUCUUCAUGGGCUUCUCAUCAAAGAUAUCCUCAGUAUUGUCCUGAAAGCUAUACCUAUCCUCCUCCAGCUUCCUAUGCUCCUCCACCUCCCGAGUAUACACACCCUCCUACUACACCUUCAGCCUUACUCUCUCAGCCGCCUUCUCAAAGCCAUGGCAAUGAUAAGAGGAGGUUGGAGCGCAAGUAAAAAAUCUUUGAUGAGUACUCCUCUUUGGAGCAAGUGAGCUAGCAAAGAGGAAAAAACAGUUUUAAAUUUCAUCAUGUUCCUCCGUCGCUAACGUAACUUUUGACUCGCAGGUGUUUUGGAGGAAAUACGGUAUGUGCGAUCUCAGGAACAAUGCAGCAACCAUCAGAGUUUUGGUUCGCCUCUUAAUCGAAUUGUAAGAUAAUCUUUUACUUUUUUCAAACUUUCGUUAUGCUCUUAAGUUGGUAAAGCUGUAGACUGUUUUAUUUAGGUUAGCUUUUCCCUGUGAAAUGAUUCGAGUCUACUGAUGGGUUUAAAAAACCGUGCUAAGGUUUCACCUCGAGGAGGUGAAGCAAGGCGAAUUCAAGUAAGCGUUGCUUCAACGCCGCCUUGGAAGCCUCAACUAAAGGCUACGCCUUAGGUUGGUGACAAAACUUACCAAGCAAGAAGCUGCUGUCUUGCCCUCGAGGAGAUUCUUUCUUCUCUAGGCAGAUACAUUACUAAUUUCGUUCGCAUUUCACUGGAAGGUAUUAUAACUUCCUAAUACUGCUGACUGCAAACGGUGGAGAGGAGAAUCUCCCAAACCGCCUUGAAGAGCUAACUGAGAAAGAGUUUGUGUUCCAGAUCCAUGUCACACCUUUCAACUUCACACCCAACCAGCUACCUUCACAGUUUCCACCAUCACUGAAGAUACCAUCUCAAGGACCCAUGGCAAGGAGCACGGUGAUAACACUCUUUCAAGCAAUGAUGGUGACGUAGGAUUGGAAGCAUCACCUUCGGGCCCGUCUGUUUUGGGAGACAAGGUCAGUGAGGAAUGUGCUACAGCAGAUCCUCCAGAGAUUUCAGACGCUCAGAACAACCGCAAGCACCGUCGUGAGUGAUUUGAACUAUCUAUUCCUAUCAGUCCAUCAACCGUCUUUUCUAUGCGUCUAAGAAAACUACUACUAUCUUUGUUUCCCAUUUUUCCCUUUCAUGUUUUCUUCUUUUUGGAUAUUUACUUUCUGUUUGGAUUAUUAAUUAAAUGUUGACGAAUUCUAAUUUGCCAGUGGUGUAUUGUUUUACUUUCAUAAUUUUAUAUCUACUUCCUAGACCA